GACGAACGCUGGCGGCGUGCUUAACACAUGCAAGUCGAACGGAAAGGCCCUGCUUGCCGGGUACUCGAGUGGCGAACGGGUGAGUAACACGUGGGUGAUCUGCCCUGCACUUCGGGAUAAGCCUGGGAAACUGGGUCUAAUACCGGAUAGGAGCCAUUUUUAGUGUGAUGGUUGGAAAGUUUUUUUCGGUGUAGGAUGAGCUCGCGGCCUAUCAGCUUGUUGGUGGGGUAAUGGCCUACCAAGGCGGCGACGGGUAGCCGGCCUGAGAGGGUGGACGGCCACAUUGGGACUGAGAUACGGCCCAGACUCCUACGGGAGGCAGCAGUGGGGAAUAUUGCACAAUGGGCGCAAGCCUGAUGCAGCGACGCCGCGUGGGGGAUGACGGCCUUCGGGUUGUAAACUCCGUUCGCUAGGGACGAAGCUUUUUGUGACGGUACCUAGAUAAGAAGCACCGGCUAACUACGUG
RNAcentral lists this ribosomal RNA (466 nucleotides) under uncultured bacterium. RNAcentral's name for it is "partial 16S ribosomal RNA". It matches the Rfam family "Bacterial small subunit ribosomal RNA", at positions 28 to 507 of the family's 1533-position model. The record is from RNAcentral.